GACGAACGCUGGCGGCGUGCUUAACACAUGCAAGUCGAACGGAAAGGCCCUGCUUUUGUGGGGUGCUUGAGUGGCGAACGGGUGAGUAACACGUGAGUAACCCGUCCUUGACUUAGGGAUAACAUCAGGAAACAGGGGCUCAUACCGGAUAGGAGCUCCUGCUGCACGGGGGGGGUUGGAAAGUUUCGGUGGUUGGGGAUGGUCUCGGGCGGUAUCAGCUAGUUGGUGGGGUAGUGGCCUACCAAGGUUAGGAAGGGUAGCCGGCCUGACCGGGUGAUCGGCGACCCGGGAACUGAGCCGCGGUCCAGACUACUACGGGAGGGCGCAGUAGCGAACGUGAGGCAAUGGGGGAGAGUCUGACAGAGCAAGGGCGAGCGUGAGACGACGGCCCCGGGUGCGGAAAGCCGUCCUUCGGGGUAAGAACCGCUUUCGCCGGAGACGAGGCGUGAGUGACGGUAAUGGAUAAAAAAGCACCGGCUAACUACGUG
Molecule: ribosomal RNA, 488 nt
Filed under: uncultured bacterium
Lineage: Bacteria
Description: partial 16S ribosomal RNA
Rfam family: Bacterial small subunit ribosomal RNA
Source: RNAcentral